Long non-coding RNA from Helianthus annuus (common sunflower), 2572 nucleotides. RefSeq lists it as uncharacterized. The record is from RefSeq and is a predicted model, not a curated record. NCBI's taxonomy places the organism in Eukaryota, Viridiplantae, Streptophyta, Magnoliopsida, Asterales, Asteraceae. The transcript has 4 exons.
UCUUUGUCGGUUAAGGUUUUGCCCCACGUUUUCUACCUCCUAUGAUUUUAGGCUGCCCAGCAGUUGUCUCGUAUCUCCUCCCCACCCAUAAAACUACCAUCCCACCUCCACAGCCCGGCGACAAUGAGGAGAAUUUGUACGGUUCCAAGAGUUCGAGACGUGAUUUCAUCCACAUAUGAAUUUGGUAACAAAUAGCCUUAUAUUAUGUGUUCAAGAAGCAAAUCCACGACGAAGUUGAAACAGGGAAAGGCAAUUGGGAUAAUUCAAGAACCACUCUACAAAACAUACCCUGCCAUCGCUACAGAAAGGAAGAAGAACACGAGAUUGGGAUUUGGGGGAUUCUAGCCACUACUCUUGCUAUGUUAUCAAGGCAUUGAUUCUCUAUGUUGCCAGAUGUAUAAAUAAUGCAUCAGGAUUCUCGAAAGGAACACUUAGUGGUUGCUCAUAGUUUGUCUUCACAAUUGGCUACACAAGAAGGUCCGCUAUUCUUGCCUGUUUUCAAUUUCCCAAUUAAUAAAAAGUAGACCAAAUUACUUAGUUUGGUGGUAUGAUAUUUGUUAAAUUUUGAUCUUUUAAUAUGUAUUUUGGACCUGUGGUCAGGACAAAAUAAAAUAGGGUCUAUGAUUAAGUUUAACAAGCAUAUGUAUAUGCUUUAAAAGGAUACAUGUGUCAGUGUCAUGGCCAUUCGAUAUUCAGAUAUUACACGGUGAACCUUGAUUCACAUCACAAGAUUCUUACACGUUUAACAACAACUAACUAAGCUAUUAACAUAUUUAUAAUUUGUGGUUCAAUCUGAACAUCUUGAAGAAUUUUAAGAAAAGAGUUAUGCUAUUUCCCUUGGAUAUAUUGGUUUAAAUUAUAUUCUUUCUUUUUUGUCUAACCUUUAGACUUCAAGUUGAAAUUUUGUUUGGUUCUCUAAAGCGAUGUGCAGGAUUCCAGUAAGCCAUAUGAAUUGCUACAUUGAGUAAUUAUGUUUAUCGUUGGUGAUAUAUGAUGAUAUCAACACGGUCCCUAUUCUAAAUAUAUUGUAUAUUAGUAUCUCUACUUGUGAGAUGCAAGUCGCAUGUUCAUUGCUUUCAGAUAUUUUUGCCAUAUGUGGUUAAUACGCUAUCUUUUAAAUGAUGCAUGCUUGAGCAGCAUCCGAAUCUGGAGGGGAUGAUGGAAUAUUGCAGCCCCGUCUACUAAAAGGUUAUAUUUUUGCUUAUGUAUAUUUGGUUUCGUGUUUUAUUUGUUAUAUAUGAUUAUAUGUUAAUGCAUUAAACCUUAAUUGCUUAUGUUUAAGAUCAUACCAGUACUUUUAAAAUAGUAAACCUUAAUUGCUUAUGUUUAAGUUCAUACCAGUACUUUUAAAAGAUACUUAAUUGCUUAUGUUUAAGUUCAUGCUUAAAUUUUAGUUUUAUUUUUGUAGCUUUUUGCUUUGAGAGAUGUUGGGGGAAUUGACAGAUAAUACGACUGUAUAUGUGAGAUUAAAAACCAUGUAAUCACUUUGGAAGGAUCCUCCAUGUUCAGAAGCAUUAAUCGCAUUAAUGAAAUGACAUAAGAUACUUAGGACCCUAAGUUAGUUCACAUUCUUCUUCAAAACGCAUAAAUUGACACACGAGCUGCCAAUAAUCUAGAUUCUAGAAGAAAUUUAAGUUUUUUAAUUUCCUAAGUUGAAAUUCCAAUUGCUUCAGUGAACAGUUGGAUUUGUUUCCGGCUGCAUACAUGUAUUCUUACCUUUUUCGGUCUACUUUUUAGACUUGACUGCCGGUUGGAUUGUCUAUGAUCUCAACCUAGCUUGGUCACCUCGAGUAGCCAUAGUGUCGCUAGCAACUGGAAACAAUUUCCCAUUUGCAUUUUGUUCAUUAGACAAUUCAUAGUUAAAUUGGUUUAAUAGUUUUGUAUGAGUGAGAAGCUUAACAUUAUUUAUAUUGUUUUGCAAGGGAAGAAAAAGUCGGGCACCGACCUUGAAUCUGCCAAUGUGUUUAUGAAUCAAUUAAAGAUGCUAAAUAGAUGAAUGUUGAUAGUUUCAGUUUCAUUACCUGAUUCACCCAUUUGCAACUGGUUCAACUCAGAUUGAGCGUCCGGAUUGGGUACCCAACUUAACCCAAAUACCCAAUACCGUCCACACACCUUAGGUAAAAAAUGUUUUCGAUUUAUAUUUUAAAUUUUUUUAGUAAACUCUAAUUAAAAAAACUACCUAAAUUAUAUAAACUUAUACUACCCAACUUAACCCAAAUACCCAAUACCUUAACCCACUAUUUCAUUAAACAUAAUUAGCCCACUAAUUACUAGCCUAUUAAACAAACCCAACCUAAGUUCAAACUAUAAUAAUUAAAAUAAGCUCAAUAGUCCCUUAGAAUUCCUCCCGCCCUCCCUCUCUUGGGUCGUCUCCUACCAGCGAUCAUCGAACACAACAGCACGUCAUCAGCAGCCGCGAACCACCGCCGUCCGACACCAAAGGGUAACAAAAUUCUUAAAUAUGUUUGAAAUUUCAUGUGUUUUGACGUUGUUUAUGGUUGUUUAGAUGAUUUUUAGGGUGAUUAUGUUGUUUAGAUGAUUUUUAGAGUGAUUACACACGAUUUCUAGGGUU